This 495-nucleotide ribosomal RNA is filed under the name uncultured bacterium. RNAcentral's name for it is "partial 16S ribosomal RNA". It matches the Rfam family "Bacterial small subunit ribosomal RNA", at positions 28 to 507 of the family's 1533-position model. The record is from RNAcentral.
GACGAACGCUGGCGGCGUGCCUAAUACAUGCAAGUAGAACGCUGAAGGAGGAGCUUGCUUCUCUGGAUGAGUUGCGAACGGGUGAGUAACGCGUAGGUAACCUGCCUGGUAGCGGGGGAUAACUAUUGGAAACGAUAGCUAAUACCGCAUAAUAGCAGUUGUUGCAUGACAACUGUUUGAAGGGUGCAAUUGCACCACUACCAGAUGGACCUGCGUUGUAUUAGCUAGUUGGUGGGGUAACGGCUCACCAAGGCGACGAUACAUAGCCGACCUGAGAGGGUGAUCGGCCACACUGGGACUGAGACACGGCCCAGACUCCUACGGGAGGCAGCAGUAGGGAAUCUUCGGCAAUAGACGGAAGUCUGACCGAGCAACGCCGCGUGAGUGAAGAAGGUUUUCGGAUCGUAAAGCUCUGUUGUAAGAGAAGAACGAGUGUGAGAGUGGAAAGUUCACACUGUGACGGUAUCUUACCAGAAAGGGACGGCUAACUACGUG